CCCAGGUUUAAAACACAUUCUGCUGGGGCAGAAGGCGUUAACGUGUAUCUAGAUGCAGAAACCUUUUCCCCUUUGAACGCCGAGGCAAAUCCGGGGAUUUUAGGCGCGGAAGGAAACCUCUUUACUCAGCCGCUCUGGGCAGCCUACCGGGCUCCGAAACUCCCGAGGCAAAGCCGGAAGAACCUCUCCUUCCCUCCGUCCCACGGAAGGAGCUCCGACUAGGGGAAAGUCCUGAAGGGAGAAAUCUCCAAGGCAACGAGGAAUUUCAAACGGCCGAGGCUAUCCAGAUCAGCAUCGGCAUCUUUCAGUUGUUCUUGGGGAUCCUGUGGUUCUACCUCUACCUGACCCAGUUUGCAGACUCUUUUCUCACUUACAAGACCUUAAUUUGGAAUGCGAAAUACCCAUUAUUAUCAGCGUUUAUCGCAAAGAUCACAGUGGGGAUAAACAUCAUGGGCAUCAUCUAUUCCGUCUAG
RNAcentral lists this long non-coding RNA (473 nucleotides) under Monodelphis domestica (gray short-tailed opossum). RNAcentral describes it as "lncRNA (ENSMODG00000044574.1)". Lineage: Eukaryota; Metazoa; Chordata; Mammalia; Didelphimorphia; Didelphidae. The record is from RNAcentral.